ACCCACAUACCUCCAAAAUUCUACUAGAAUCUCGUCUGGUCUGGUUGCUUUGCCCCGACUCAUCUUACACAUCUCUCCCAUGACCUCCUCAACCUUAAUACACCUACAGUAUAUAAAGUCUUGGUGCCUCUCAGAGUGCCCCAAUUCCCUAAGCAUGAUGUUUCUAUCCCCCUCUUCAUUCAGAAGUUUAUGAAAGUAGAACUGCCACCUUUUCUUAAUUUGGGCCUCGUCCAUCAAUACUUGACCUUCCUCAUCUUUGAUGCACCUCACUUGAUCCAGGUUGCGAGCCUCCUUCUCUCUCGCUUUGGCCAGCCAAAAUAACUUCUUAUCCUCACCUUUGCCCCCUAGUUCCUUAUACAACUGACCAAACGCAACAGUCUUAGCCUCCAUGACCGCUAAUUUUGCCUCCUUCCUAGCUUCCUUAUAUUUUUCUCUGUUCGCUCUCCUCUACUCCUCGUCGGUGCUCUCCACUAACAUAAGGUAAGCCACUUUCUUUGCUUUCACUUUAUCUUGGACCACCCCUAAUCGCCUUGGUACUCGCCAGAGUAACCCUUCGAGACCCUUAACACCUCUCUCGUCGCCGUCCACAUAAUGCUAGCAUCCCCACUACUAUUCCAGGCUCCCAUAGCCGUCAGCCACCCCUCCAACUCCUGCGCAUUAUCCUUAGUCAAAACUCUCUACCUGAUCCUCGGUUGGCCCUGUACAAGCCUCUUCUUCCUCUUUAUUAAGCUACCAACGUCCAUCACCAGGAGCUUAUGUUGAGUCGCGAGGUUCUCACUCGGGAUUACCUUACAAUCCUUACACAACCCCCUAUCACACCUCUUGAGGAUGCGAUAGUCAAUCUGAGUCGUAGCCACCAUACUCCGAAAAGUAAUCAAAUGCUCAUCCUUCUUCGAAAAAAUAGAGUUCAUGAUCACCAACUCAAAAGCUCUAGAGAAAUCCAACAAUGAAGUACCUCCUCCGUUCCUAUCCUCAAAGCCGAAGCCACUGUACACCUCGCCAUAGCCACCAACAGACAAUCCAAUAUGACCAUUGAUAUCCCCUCCUAUAAAUAACUUCUCCGUAGGCGGAGUACCCUGCACCAAAUCAUCCAACGCCUCCUAGAAGCGCCUUAUAGCCUCCUCGUCCAUGCCCGCUUGCGGUGCAUAAGCGCUAAUGAUAUUCAGAGUGCCCCUCCAACUACUAACUUAAUCACUAUCAAUCUGUCAUUCACUCACCUAACCUCCACCACUGACUCUCUGAGCUCCCUAUCCACCAAAAUACACACUCCAUUCUUGCCCUUCGCGCCUCCUGAGUACCACAAUUUAUACCCAUAUGCAUUUCUCGCCUUCGAUCCUACCCACCUAGUCUCAUGCUCACAAGCUAUAUUGACCUUCUUCUUCUGGAGAAUCUUCGUCAGCUCUAUAGACUUACCCGUCAACGUCCCUAUAUUCCACAAUCUAAUUCUCAACCUACAGGCUUCCUUGUUCCCUUUACCCUCUUUGGGCCUUGUCCCGCCACCUGACCCUUGUCCUACCCCUCGCCCCGCCACCGCUCAGGUAGAGAGAGGGAGAGGGAGAGGGAGAAUAAAUAUAGUAAGUUCUUUUGGAAUUUGGCCAUACAAUGCUAAUUCUUUUGGGUUGCCUUUGGCAAACAUAAUCUACGACAAAAAGUUUGCCAAUUCAUAUUAUAUGUUGUCAUUCGGUGCCAAUUUACAGAAAAAGACAAAAGGUUGAAAAGGACCCGAAGUAAAACACCAUGUUUGACUUCUGAUUUUAAGCCCGAGCUGAUCCAAGGCCCAAUAUCGGCCAAAAUUUCAGUUUUCUAAUAGAGCCCAAAGUUUCAUUUACGCUCCAAUAUUUGGGAGACUGAAUGCUUGAUCCUUAACUGCCACCAAGCAAAGUUAUUAUCAAAAGGCAACACAAUAGAAAUGCUCUUAUUAUUUUCUUCCUUCAUCCCAAUAUGCAAAAUCAGAUGGCCACGCCAAAAAGUUAUAAGUAUCAUUAUUGGUAAGAUAUUUUACUUAUCAAUGUUCAGAAUGAAGCAUCAAGUAUACUAUAAAUCUCAAAACUGAGUUUUAAGGGUGCCAAAUUCGACACAAAAAAAGAGUGUGAUAUAUCCACCUUGGCCAAACUUUAAAGAGUUCAGUAACUGUAUACGAGUUCAAUAAAUAAUAUAGAGAAAUUUUCAAAAAUCACUAUGUUUUAGUGAUUAUUAGUUUGCUAUAGCUAUUAUUUACUAAAUUACUUCCUAUAGCUAUGUGUUCAGUAGUUAUAGAUUGUAUUCGAUGUAUUUUUGCUAUUGUAUUCAUGAAUAUAGUAGGAAAACUCGAUAGAAAAUCGGGGAGUCCAGCUAAGCAGAGAAUGUAUUCGACUGUAUUCGUGAAUACAGUAAUAGAAUUUGCGGAAAAAAAGGUCUUCAGCUGUUUAAAAAUGGUAAGUGAAUCAAUUAAGGCGAAAGACUCCUAAUACAACUCAACAAACUCAAUUAUAACACACAAAAUUUAUAUUUCCAGUUAUAAAAAAGAUUUUCAAGAAAAAAACACCCCAAAAACAGAGCAAUCUUUAGAGAUUCAAUCCAUCCUUUCUUUUUUAGUGGUAUCUUUACUAAAAUAUUUUUUAGUGGUAUCUUUACAAAUAGAUUUAUAUAUUGAAAUUAUAUAAUUACAUUGAAUACAGUUAAAUACAUAAAAAUAUAUUGAAUACAUGAAGUAUAUCAGGUCAUCUAUAGUGCAAAAACAUAUGAAUACAUACUGCAGAUACAUUGUAAUACAUAUAUACAUCUGAAUAUAUAAAUUAUAUUAAUUAAAAAAAUAUAUAAAUACAUUCAUGGAAUACAGCGAGACAGUGAAUAUAAUGAAAUUCAUGAAAUACAGUGAGAUAUAUUGAAAUACAAUAAAAAAAAUAAAGAUGGUGAAUACAAUAAAAUACAUGGAAUACAGCGAGAUACAUUAAAAUACAAUUAAAAAAAAGUAACAGACUCUUCAAGUUUCUCAGCCCCAAACUCCAUUCCCAAUCCACCGAUAUCCAGGUCGCCGCCAUGUAGGGCAUCGCCGCUGGUUAAAUGAAGACAGUGGUUGAAGAAGCACCAAUUUAAAGGAUCAAACAGAAAUUAGAGACAGAACUUCAUCAGAUCUCACAAGGCAAACAUGAACAAUCAAUGCAAAAUCUAAGAAAAAUUUAGAAUGUGGAACACAACUGUGUGAAAGAAAUCGCUGGCCGGAGGAGGGGGUUAGGGGUGACACAAUAAGGGGGAGUCGCCGGUCGGAUCUGUCGUUGGCGGAACACAACCCCUGCUAGGGUUUCUAAAAGCAGGGAAGGAAAAAACCGGGGGAAAAAGAAGAAACAACAACAACAACAACAACAACAACAACAACAACAACAACAACGACCCAGUAUAAUCGCACACGUGGGGUCUGAGGAGGGUAAUAUGUACGCAGACCUUACCCCUACCCCGAAGGGUAGAGAGGCUGUUUUCAGGAGACCCUCGGCUCAAAAAAAGCAACAAGAGACGAUAUAUUAGUACUAUAAAAAUGCAUAAUAAAAUAACAGCAAUAUAAGAGAUAUGAAAUACAAAAUAAGAAAUACGAAAUAUAUGGCUGGUAUAGUAAAAAACUAGCAGGUAAAGCCCUGCAUCAAUAGACGACCAAUGACAUUCUUAGUCUAACUCCUAACUGGAUAGUCUCACUCUAUUGUGCUGUAGAAAUAUUCGCAACUUUCCCCUAACCUACAACCUUAAUGCUCGACCUCCAUAAUUCCCUGUCAAGGGCCAUGUCCUCAGUAAUCCUAAGUCGCGCCAUGUCCUGUCUGAUCACCUCUCCCCAAUACUUCUUAGGUCGCCCUCUACCUCUCCGCGUGCCCNNNNNNNNNNNNNNNNNNNNNNNNNNNNNNNNNNNNNNNNNNNNNNNNNNNNNNNNNNNNNNNNNNNNNNNNNNNNNNNNNNNNNNNNNNNNNNNNNNNNNNNNNNNNNNNNNNNNNNNNNNNNNNNNNNNNNNNNNNNNNNNNNNNNNNNNNNNNNNNNNNNNNNNNNNNNNNNNNNNNNNNNNNNNNNNNNNNNNNNNNNNNNNNNNNNNNNNNNNNNNNNNNNNNNNNNNNNNNNNNNNNNNNNNNNNNNNNNNNNNNNNNNNNNNNNNNNNNNNNNNNNNNNNNNNNNNNNNNNNNNNNNNNNNNNNNNNNNNNNNNNNNNNNNNNNNNNNNNNNNNNNNNNNNNNNNNNNNNNNNNNNNNNNNNNNNNNNNNNNNNNNNNNNNNNNNNNNNNNNNNNNNNNNNNNNNNNNNNNNNNNNNNNNNNNNNNNNNNGGCCAACAUUCAGUUCCAUAUAACAUGGCAGGCUAACCACUGCUCUAUAAAACUUACCUUUUAGUAACGGUGACAAUUUCUUGUCACACAAGACUCCCGACACUAACCUCCACUUCAUCCACCCACCCCUAUACGGUGUGUGACAUCCUCGUCAAUCUCCCCGAUCCCCUGAAUAACCGAUCCAAGGUACUUGAAACUACCCCUCUUGGGAAUGACUUGAGAGGCAAGCCUCACUUCAACUCCCGCUUCCGUCGGCUCAACCCUAAAUUUGCACUCGAGGUAUUCCGUCUUCGUCCUACUCAACUUGAAACCUUUAGACUCAAGAGCAUGUCUCCAAAUCUCUAGCCUCUCGUUGACGCCGCCUCGUGUCUCGUCAAUUAGAAUAAUGUCAUCAGCGAAUAGCAUGCACCAUGGCACCUCCCCUUGAAUAUGACAAGUCAGUGCAUCCAUCACCAGGGCAAAUAGGAAUGGGCUGAGCGCAGACCCUUGGUGCAACCCCGUAAUAACUGGAAAGUGUUUAGAGUCACCUCCUACUGUCCUAACCCGAGUCUUAGCUCCAGCAUACAUGUCUUUAAUCACCCUAAUAUAGUCAACCGAGACCCCUUUAUCCUCUAAGCAGCUCCAUAAGACCUCCCUAGGAACCCUAUCGUACGCUUUCUCCUGAUCAAUAAGCACCAUGUGGAGAUCCUUCUUCAUAUCCCUGUACUGUUCCACCAUCCUCCUAAUAAGGUGGAUAGCUUCUGUGGUAGAUCGCCCCGGCAUGAACCCGAACUGGUUGUCUGAAAUAGACACCGUCCUUCGCACUCUCAUUUCUACCACUCUCUCCCAAACUUUCAUGGUAUGACUUAGUAAUUUGAUGCCCCUAUAGUUAUUACAGCUCUGGACAUCACCUUUGUUCUUAUACAACGGAACCAUUGUACUCCACCUACACUCUUCAGGCAUCCUAUUUGUCUUGAAUAUAACACUAAACAAUUCAGUAAGCCAUUCCAAGCCUGCUCUACCCACACACCUCCAAAGUUCUACCGGAAUUUCGUCUGACCUGGUAGCUCUGCCCCUUCUCAUCUUACGCAUUGCCUCCAUGACUUCAUCGAUCUCAAUGUCCCUAUAAUUACUUAAUGUCCCUAUAAGAGAAGAAAGAGGAAAGAAAAAAGAGGAGAGAGGGAAGAGAGAAAAUAAUACAUAGCGUAUUUAAUGGCUUAAAGGUAGGAAGUGGUCAUAAAUAGAUAUUUUGCUAUAAAAAUUAAAAGAUAGCUAUAGGAGAUAAUUCUUUACAACGGUAUUUAUUUAUAGUAAAUAAGGUAUCAAUCUUUGCUAUAGGAGGUAAAAUUUCCAACUGGUUACAACAUGAUUGAGACCAACUUGGGCUUCAUUACUAGGCCUAAUCAGUCCGUAAGAGAGUUUUGUCAAAAAUAGAUUGUACACAAAAAUAACAAAAAAAUAAAAAUAAAGUGGUUCUGGUUUUGUAGGAUAUAGUUUUAUUAUAUUGUAAAGUGAUUUACUUUUUAAAACCACAGUUGAUAAUACAAACUUAUUAAAAAAAAAUUGAAAAAUAGAUCUAAGUUAAUCGAUGAUCCGCUACCCAACUCAGCACAUUUUUUGACCUGGAAAAAAAUUGGACGAAUAGGGUAAUAACUUGUUCGUUGACUAAAUCUAUUUUAAUCUCAAAAUGAUCCUAACUUAUUUGACACCCAAAACUGAUCGACAGUGUUAGUAUCAAAACUAGACCGACAGUGUUAGUACCAAAACUUAAUCGAAGAAAUGCAUAUAACCGAUGGUUUGAAUUUAGUUCAUUUCCCUAUUAUUUUCUCUGCGUCUAAAGUAUGUGCUCUAUGCUAACCUUUGUAGAGGUGGAUUCAAUGCACUAAAUAAUCCUUAUACAUGAUGGUGGGUCAAAAUCCAAAUUGCAUCGUAUAACAUCAUUUGUUAAGUUUGGUGUAAGUCAUUUUGAGUGGAGAGAAACCCAAACCUAAAUUUUACUAUGACCUUUUUAUAAUCAAGUUCAUUGAAAUUGUAUAUAUGGUCAUUGAUUUGAGUUUUUAUCACCCUAUUAGCAAAAUCAACAGCUAAGAAAAUCAACAGCCAACGGUCAUGUUUCAUAGUUCAUGAAAUGUUAUAUUCUUAUGCUUAGAUGAAAAAAAAAAAUCUUACACUUAACUCACUCAUUGAUUAAAGCUAGUUUAUAGCUUUAAUUUGGUUCACUAACAAGUUAUAUGGUAUUACUGUACAAGCAUUUCAAUUUGAUGAAAAGUAAUUACUCUAUGUCGGACAUUUCGUUCAUUAUAGUAAAAAUUGUAUAUGAGAUAAAUAAUCUAAAAUAUGUGUUUGAAUUUAAAGUGGAUAAAUUAAAUGGUGUUUCCAGUAAUCUUCGGCCUUUACAUAGCUCCUUUGUCAUCUUGAAGGACUAUGGUUGGUUAAAAUACUAAAUGAAGAAUGUGAGUAGAGCCGACAAAAGAAGAAGCAUGUGAGUAACAAUUUUGCAAAUAAAUUUUCUGACAAAUAGGAAUUAAAAUUUUGCCCUUCCAGAUUUUUCUAAUAUUCUUAAAACCGAAUUUGUGUUGACACCGAAGACAACAAUUAAUAAUAAUAUAGAUGAACAAUUUUUAACAUAAACAUGUUAAAUCGAGAAGUAAUAGAAGUUAUUGUUAGAAUAGGCCCAUUUGAUAGUGUAUGAUUCUAUUUCAUUUUUUACUUUGGGCCAGUAGUACCCGGCCCAAUCUUGUAUUUAAUGUACGCCUUAUUUUUUUUUAAUAGGAACGGACUAUCAUUCUUAUAGAGAUAAUAAAAAUAUCUAGAACUCUCCUUUCUCUCUCUAAUGGAAACACUUGUGUUCUAAUUUCUCAAACUCUCAAUCUGAGAAAUAUGUCAAGUUUACAUGGUAUCGAGCAUAGAUCCUUCUGUGGCUCGUUCUCUGCUUUCGAUCGAUCCUGUUUUCGUUAAUUACGGAGGUGUAUUUCAUUCUAGGUGAUGUCCGGCUCAUUUAGCGUUCAACUCGAUAUUUUUCAACCAUUUCUACUGAUUUUUUGUUGAUUUCUUAGUCGGAUUCUCACUAUAUCAAAUUGUUUGAUUGGUGAUGUGAUUUGGGAAUUUCGUGGUUUUCAUCUCGAGCUAGGGUUUUGAAGUCGUCUACUGUCAAGUCGUAGCUUCUCUCUCAUUUGUGAUUGAAGGCUGUUUUCUAUUUUUCGAUCGUGAAAAGAGCUGGGUAGCCUCUAAAUUGCAUGCCUAUUUGGUCUAUAGAUGUGUAUCUGCAUUGUGUUGUUUGGUUGACAAUUUGUUGAAGAAAUGACAAACGAUAAUAACACCAGUGCUGAUGCGACUUCUUCUACUCCCUCACACCUAAUUUUUCAUGAAGAUGAUUAUACCCAUCCCUGUCACCCCCUAUAUGUCCAUCCCUCGGACGUGAUGGGAUCUUCCUUAGUUUCUAGUCCUUUUGAUGGAAGAUGUUAUGGCAGUUGGAGGCGUAAUGUCCUAGUUGUUUUGUCUAUUCAUAACAAGCUAGAUUUCAUUAAUGGUACUUCUCAAAGACCACCCGGAGGUUCUCCUCUAGCCAGAUAGUGGCAACAUUGCAAUGACCUUGUGAUCUCUUGGCUGACUAACUCUAUGUCCAGGGAAAUAUCUAGGAGUGUUGAAUACUCUGAGUUUGCUAAAGAUAUUUGGACUGAGUUAGAAGAGAGGUAUGCAAAAGUUGAUGGUGCUAGGAUCUUUGAGCUAAAGAAGGAACUGGCUCAUAUUUCCCAAGAGUCCAUGGACACACCAUCAUAUUUCAACAAAAUUAAACGAAUACGGGAUGAGAUUGCAUCCUUGUCUAUGGGAAGAAUUCGAAUGUGUACUUGUGGGGGGUAAGUCUGUUGAAGAUGAAGAACAAAAGAUCUACCAGUUCCUUAUGGGAAUGAAUGAUACUUAUGUUCAAACAAAAAGCAACAUGAUCAUGAUGAAGCCUUUGCCUUCCAUUGAUAAUGUAUAUGGGAUUUUGCUAUCUGAUGAGAAGUAAAGGCAUGUUUCUGCUGGAACUCAAUUUGCCUCCAAUUCUGCUUCUUUCAGUUCUUGUGUAUCCAGGCCUCCACCCUCUCCCUAAAUAAAUUUUGAACCUCAAAAGUUAGGUACUACCUCUAAGGCAUCUUUUGUGCCUCACAAGUCUACUAUUGUCUGCAAGUAUUGUAAGAAACUUGGACAUAGCAUUGAUAAGUUCUAUAAACUCCAGGGUUUUCCUCCAAACUUCAAGUCAAAUAGAUUUCCUCCUCCCAGAAGGUCUGUUGCCCAUGUAGAAGUGGAUACCUUUAGUGUUUCUGCUAUGUCAGCUGGUCUUGAAGGUACCUCUGCUCCUGAACAGUCCUAUCCAGUUCCUGGUUUUACCCAAGGACCAAUAUUCUCAGCUAAUGCUACUUCUUCAGCAAUCUCAACUGUUUUCAUCAGUAUCAUCUACUUCUUCAACCAACUAUCUUGCCUCUACCAACUUUGCUGGUGAGUUAUUACCUCACAAGGUUGUGUCUUAUGGUGCAUGUAUGCUGACUAAGAUAUGCAAUGUAGUUUGGGUGAUAGACUCUAGGGAAUCUGACCACAUGACCUCCCUUAAACAUUUACUUUUUAAUAUUCAAACACUUCUUGUACACUAUCUUGUCUCUCUUCCUAAUGGGUAUAAGGUUAAGGUCACUAAUAUUGGUUCCUUAACCUUGUUCCCUGACUUGAUUCUUCAUAAUGUGCUCCAUUUUCCUAGUUUUCAAUUCCCUGUAUAAAAUUACUUUCCCAUGAUGAUGAUAUUGUACAAUUUACCAAGGCUGCUUGUACCUUACAGGGCCCUUCAGUGAAGAAGCCAGUGGUUCUUGGUAGAUUAGACAAGGACUCUACAAACUGUAUCAGAAUGCCAAGCCUCCAACAUCAUCUCCUUUACCUCUUUCUAAUUCCCUUAGUUCUUGUUUGCUUAAUUCAGUUUCUGCUCCUAUUUCUGUAGUGAUGAUACUACAAUUGUAAAUAUCAGUAUUGUUUUGCAUAAUGUGAAUAAAUAUGAUGUUUGACAUUAUAGACUUGGCCACAUUCCAUUCUCUAAAAUGAAAUGCAUUUCUGGUAUUACUUGCAAACUGUCUUCCAAACAAUUAUUCACUUGUCCAGUUUGUCCUUUAGCUAGGCAGACCAGGUUGUCCUUCCCUGAUAGUUCUAUUCACUCCACCCAACCUUUUUAGCUAAUACACAUAGAUACAUGGGGACCCUAUUUUACUCCUACCUAUGAUGGUUCAAGGUAUUUUUUUAACCAUUGUAGAUGACUACUCUAGAGCUACUUAGACACAUUUAGUGGGUGCCAAAAGCAAUGCUUUUGAUUUGCUCAAGACUUUCAUUGCUAUGGUUGAAACCCAAUUCCAUUCUAAAGUUCAAACUGUUAGGAGUAAUAAUGCAUUGGAGCUGGGAUCUACUUCUUAUGGUUGCUUCUUCUUUUCAAAAAAAAGGAUAGUACACCAAACCUCAUGUCCUCACCCCCCCCAACAGAAUGGUGUUGUAAAAAAGAAACACAAAAAUUUACUAGAGACUGCUUGGGCACUUCUGUUUCAGUCUCACCUACCACUUAAAUUUUUGGGUGACUGCCUUUUAACUGCCACCUAUUUGAUUAACAGAUUUUCUUCUCGUCUUCUAAAUCACAAAAGUCCCUAAGAAUUGCUUUAUUCUUCCACCCCUACUUAUCACCACCUUACAACAUUUGGUGCCUCUGUUACUCAACUGUCACCACCCCUCACAAAGGCAAAUUCCAUCCCAGGUCCCUUCCUUGUGUUUUCAUUGGCUACCCUUUUGCCAAAACGGGCUACAAGCUCCUUAAUCUUCAAAAUAACACCUAUUUUGUAUCAAGAGAUGUCAUUUUUUCUGAACACAUUUUUCCUUUCUUUUAAUCCUCUAAUGUUGUACCUCAGGUCUUCCCCUUUUCCUUUUUCUGCUUGUUUUGAUGACUGUUCCUUCACUUCUUCUUCCUCUCCUUCUUCUUCUUCACCUUCUCUUUCUACUGCUUCUCAAUCCUUUUCUGUUCCCACUUUCUUCUCUUCUCCUCCUUAUGUUUUUGUCUCUCCCGCAACUCCUUUCUGCUUUGAGAAGAUAUUCCAGGCCAUACAAUCCACCCAGCUAUCUCAAGAGUUAUGUCUGCAUCUCCGCUUCUUCUCCUCCUCCCUCCAGGUCUGUUUCUAAUGCUACUUCUCUUAGUCAGCUUCAUGUUCUUGAGCCUUAUUCUUACUCUGAGGCUGCAGAUGUUCCUGAAUGGAAGGCAGCCAUGAGGUGUGAAUUUGAGGCCUUGGAUGCCAGCAGAACUUGGGACAUUGUUGAAUUGCCUCCUGGCAAGAAACCUAUUGGUUGUAAGUGGGUAUACAAGGUUAAGCAUUGGGCUGAUGGGAGUAUUGAGAGAUAUAAAGCUAGGUUGGUAGUUAGGGCUGAUACUCAAGUUGAGGGUAUUGACUUUAAUGAAACUUUUUCCCCUGUGAUCAAGAUGUCUACUAUUAAAAAUCUGAUUGUUGUAGCUGUUAAGCAACACUGGCCCAUCUUUCAACUAGAUGUGAAUAAUGGCUUAUUACAUGGGGACCUUGAUGAGGAGGUAUUCAUGAAGCUCCCACCUGGUCUACUGUUCGUUACUCUUCUUCUUUUUCUGCUCCUUUCGUAUGCAAACUUCAGAAGUCUCUCUAUGGUUUAAGAUAGGCUUCAAGACAAUGGUAUGCUAACUUGUCUCAAGCCUUGUGCUCUAAGGUCUUCUCUAAUUCCUUGAAUGAUUACUCUAUUUUUACCAAGGAUUCUAGUGAUUCCUUGGUCAUCUUGGUUGUCUAUGUAGAUGAUAUCAUAUUGACUGGGUGUGAUUUAGCUGAAUUGGAUGAUUUGAAGUUCUUUAUCAAUGCCUAGUUCAAGAUCAAGGAUUUGGGAUCUCUUAAUUACUUCCUUGGCAUUGAGGUUUUCUACAGUGACUCAGGGGUUCUUCUUCUCAGGAAAAGCUCAUUCAUCAUUUGCUGGAUGAUUUUCAUUCCUCUGAUUGCUCUCAUGUCACUUGCCCCCUUGAAUUGAAUGUGAAGUUGAAAGUUAAGGCUGGCAUUCCCUUGCGCAGGCCUGAAGGGUACAGGAGUCUCGUGGGCAAGCUGAACUUUCUGACACACACAAGGCCGGACCUUAGUUUUGCUGUUCAACAUCUGAGUCAGUUAAUGCAAUCUCCCAGUUAAUGCAAUCUCCCUGUGUUCCUCACAUGCAGGCUGCCUUGCACUUGCUGAGAUACCUCAAGGGAACCUCUGACUUUAGAAUCUUCCUCAACAACUCUCCAGACUUGUCUUUGCAUCUUUAUUGUGACAGUGAUUGGGCUUCUUGCCCAUACAACCGCAUAUCUGUCAUUGGUUUUUGCAUUUUUCUUUGGAGCAGCUUGGUGGGUUGGAUAUUAAAGAAGCAACAUGUUGUCUCACUAUCAUCAGUUGAAGCUGAUUAUAGGUCCAUGAGUAAGGUUGUUGCAGAGGUGUCUUAGCUCAACAGAUUAUUGUUUGAUUUUGGAGUUUCUCCUUCUUUAAUUGUUCCUUUGUUUUGUGAUAAUCAGGCAACCAUCCACAUUGCGAGAAACCCCGUUUUUCAUGAACACACUAAAUACAUUGAGUUGGAUUGUCAUUUUGUGGCUGAUGUUCUUACAAAAUUUUUACCUAGGACUUGGGGAUGGCCUGGUCGGUCUACUCCACACUUCCAGUGCUUCUAAAGUGGCUGAUGUUCUUACAAAAUUUUUACCUGGGCGUGCCCAUCAUUUUCAUAUUCGCAAGCUGGGGGUUGUGUCACUCUUCAGCUUGAAGGGGACUGAUAGAAUAGGACCAUUUGAUAGUGGAUGAUUCUCUUUUAUUUUUUAAUUUGGGCCAGUAGUACUCGGUCCAAUCUUGUAUUUAAUGUAGGCCUUAUUUUUGUAUAGGAACAGACUAUCAUUCUUACAAAGAUAAUGAAAAUAUCUAGAACUCUCCUUUUUCUCUCUAAUGGAAACACUUGUGUUCUAAUUUCUUAGACUCUUAAUAUGAGAAAUAUGUCAAGUUUACAGUU
This 12289-nucleotide long non-coding RNA is filed under the name Nicotiana tabacum (common tobacco). RNAcentral describes it as "long non-coding RNA (NTAB_LNC005756)". Lineage: Eukaryota; Viridiplantae; Streptophyta; Magnoliopsida; Solanales; Solanaceae. The record is from RNAcentral.